RNAcentral lists this unclassified non-coding RNA (336 nucleotides) under soil metagenome. RNAcentral describes it as "partial contains 5.8S ribosomal RNA, internal transcribed spacer 2, and large subunit ribosomal RNA". The stretch from base 1 to 120 matches the Rfam family "5.8S ribosomal RNA", at positions 35 to 154 of the family's 154-position model. The record is from RNAcentral.
GACGAAGAACGUAGCGAAAUGCGAUAAGUAGUGUGAAUUGCAGAAUUCAGUGAAUCAUCGAAUCUUUGAACGCACAUUGCGCCCCUUGGUAUUCCAUGGGGCAUGCCUGUUCGAGCGUCAUUUGUACCUUCAAGCUUUGCUUGGUGUUGGGUGUUUGUCUCGCCUUUGCGUGUAGACUCGCCUUAAAAUAAUUGGCAGCCGGCGUAUUGAUUUCGGAGCGCAGUACAUCUCGCGCUUUGCACUCAUAACGACAGCGUCCAAAAGUACAUUUUACACUCUUGACCUCGGAUCAGGUAGGGAUACCCGCUGAACUUAAGCAUAUCAAUAAGCGGAGGA